AGUUGGUGGAGUGAUCUGUCUGGUUAAUUCCGAUAACGAACGAGACUCUCACUUACCAAUAAGGACACUGUUUCCAAAUUGAAGUCGGGUGGAAACAUUAACUAACUUGAAGAUGUGUGUCUUCUUGGAAGGGUUAGUUGAACGAAGUAGCUAAAGAAAGAGCAAUAACAGG
RNAcentral lists this ribosomal RNA (172 nucleotides) under Metazoa environmental sample. RNAcentral's name for it is "partial small subunit ribosomal RNA". It matches the Rfam family "Eukaryotic small subunit ribosomal RNA", at positions 1296 to 1460 of the family's 1831-position model. Lineage: Eukaryota; Metazoa. The record is from RNAcentral.